UGGGUGACAAGAGUGAAACUCUAUCUCAGAAAAAAAAUAAAAAUUAAAAACUACAAUUAGCAAACUGUUCUAUGUUUUUUAAAGCUCAGCUUUUUCUAGUCCUAUAAACCCAAUUGAUAAUAAUGUGGACUUUGACAAAUCAUUUAAUCUCUCUGAGUCUGUUUCAUUACCUGAAAAAUGAGUAAUUUAGAUUAUUUCUAGUUAUUCGUUAUAAUUAAAAUAAUGCAUCAGUCGGCAUCCAUAUAGAUAUAUCCUGCACAUUUGCUCAAGUGUUUCUGUAGUAUAGAUUCCUAGCAGGGGAAAUAAGUGUAUCAUAGGGUGUGUGUAUUUUAAAUUUCGGUAAAUAAUUGCCAAAUGAUCCUCCAGAAUGUAGCCCCAAUUUACAUUCUCAUCAACAGUGCAUGAAAGACCACACUUUUUGACGUUUAAUAUUAUUAACAUUUUUCUAAGCAGAUCAGUUAAAAUUUUUUUUUGUUUAUGCAUCAGUUGUAUUGAGCGUAUGUUUUAUAUGCUUAUGGUUUGUUUGUAUUUAUUUUCUAUAAACUGAUUUUGCAUAUUUUGACCCAUUUUUUCAUUUGGGUUUUUCUUACUGAUUUAUAAUUGACAUUUAGGUAUGUGUAUAAUAGAUACAUUUUGUUUAUUUGGGAACAUGCAUCAGUAGGCAUAGAAUUUUCUUCCUUCUUUUUUGUUUUUUUUUCUCUUCUGCUUUUCUUGACUCUAAACUGGAAAAUCUUUAAUCUCUUUCUAAACUAUGAUACAGUUUUCAUAACUUUAAUGUAUAGUCUAUUUCCACACUGCUAUAAAGAACUACCUGAGACUGGGUAAUUUAUGAAGGAAACAAGUUUAAUUGACUCACAGUUCCACAGGCUUAACAGGAAGCAUGACUGGGAGGCCUCAGGAAACUUAACAAUCAUGGCGGAAGGUGAAAGAUGUCUUAAGAUGGCAGUAGGAGAGAGGGAGUGAAGCGGUAAGUGCCGCAUACUUUUAAACCAUCAGAUCUGACGAGAACUCACUAUCACGAGAACAGCAAAGGAGAAUCUGCCCCCGUGAUCCAGCCACCUCUCACCACACCCCUGCUCCAAUCUGCCAUGAGAUUUGGGUGGAGACACAAAUGCAAACUAUAUCACUUAGAAUUAUUUAUCCUUUAAAAGUUGGUACAACCGGAGGCUGAGGCCGGCAGAUCACAAGACAAUCUUUCAUUUCACGGAGGUUUCGAAGUUUGUCAGUAUACAAUUGCACAAGCUACUUCUUUCAAGUACCUUGAGACAUUUAUGUAUCUUACAGAUCUUUUCAUCUAUUUUAUCAAAUUUAGUGUAUUUUUAUUUUCAUCAAUCUGCUUUCUCUGGAGUUAUCAUUAUUGUUUUCUCUUCUCUUUCUAUCUUUUUAAAUUGAAUGUUCAGUUAAUUUGUCAUUCUUUCUUAUUUUCUAUGAAAUACAAUAUAAAUAAUAAAUUUUGAUCUGUGUAUCAUUUUGGUCAUAUAUCUUAGAUUAUGAGGUGGGUACCCUCAUUGUCUCAUCUCUAAGUAGUUUUGAUUUUGCAACUGUCUUUACAUAUCAGUAAAUGUGUAUCAAUCUAUCAUAGCAUUCCAUUGUAAAGACACAUCCUACUUUCUUUAAUCUAUCACCUCAUGUUGGAAGUUGUUACUGUUCCCAAUUUCAUUACUGUUAUGAAUAAUGUUAUAAUGAAUAUAUUUGUUCACCAGUUCACUUAUUUCUUUAGAAUAAAAUCUGAGAAAAUUUUGAUCAAUGUAUAUGGUCACAUUUUUAGUCUUUUGAAACACAUUUCAAAAUUUCCCAUCCAAAAGGCUAUAUCGAUUUUCAGACUGUCAUCAGCAAAGCAUGAGAAUUCUCAUUUCCUCACAUCUGCAACACUAAGAAUUCCUAGGGUUUGGCUUUAGGAGAAUGAGCUACACAAGACUAAGAUAUGGUCGUCCCUGUACAGUUACCAUCACCUCCAAGGCUGAUAAGAUUAAGAAAGAAAGAAAUGAAAUCAUGGGACCAAAAUGUUGGACCUGGAAGGACCCCAAAAGUCAUGUCAUUUAGCCACUUUAUUUUUACAAGCCAGGAAAUUAAACCAAAUGGCUUUUUAUGCUUUUCAAAUUUUUCUACAUUAAGAAAUUCUCGAUUAAAUGUUCUCAAAGCAUUAUUAAUAAAUGCUUGUUAAACUAUCCAUGCUACGUAUUUUUAUAAAGAAGGGGAAACAUGACAUAUGUAUAAUCCUCUCAUCAUCAACAUAUUUAUUAAGGGCUAACUAGGUAAAAGAUUUAAAUGCUUAGAAUAAAUUUUGUCGUUAAAGAUGGUCCUUUACACUUUGGGAGGCCAAGGCGGGCAGAUCACGAG
Molecule: long non-coding RNA, 2340 nt
Organism: Homo sapiens (human)
Lineage: Eukaryota; Metazoa; Chordata; Mammalia; Primates; Hominidae
Exons: 3
Source: RefSeq, a predicted model, not a curated record